ACCUGGGUGGCUCAGUGGUUGAGCAUCUGCCUUCAGCUCAGGUCAUGAUCAGGUCCUGGGAUCGAGUCCCACAUCGGGUU
Non-coding RNA from Canis lupus familiaris (dog), 80 nucleotides. The record is from Rfam. NCBI's taxonomy places the organism in Eukaryota, Metazoa, Chordata, Mammalia, Carnivora, Canidae.